GCGAUUUAAUCGUUGGAUUGCGGGGGAUACUGUCUGGCUAGGGGGCGAGAGAGGCCGACGGUAUUCUCGGGGUAGGGGUGAAAUCCUAUAAUCCCGGGAGGACCACCAGUGGCGAAGGCUGUCGGCUAGAACGCGCUCGACGGUGAGGGAUGAAAGCUGGGGGAGCGAACCGGAUUAGAUACCCGGGUAGUCCCAGCUGUAAACGAUGCAGGCUAGGUGUUAGGGCGGCCACGUGCCGCUCUAGUGCCGCAGGGAAGCUGUUAAGCCUGCCGCCUGGGGAGUACGGCCGCAAGGCUGAAACUUAAAGGAAUUGGCGGGGGAGCACCACAAGGGGUGAAGCUUGCGGUUUAAUUGGAGUCAACGCCGGAAAUCUCACCGGGGGCGACAGCAGGAUGAAAGCCAGAUUAAAGGUCUUGCCAGACAAGCUGAGAGGAGGUGCAUGGCCGUCGCCAGUUCGUGCCGUGAGGUGUCCUGUUAAGUCAGGCAACGAUCGAGACCCGCAUCCCCCGUUGCUACCAGCCUCGCGCUGGGCACACUGGGGUGACUGCCGCCGAUAAGGCGGAGGAAGGAGCGGGCCCGGCAGGUCAGUAUGC
This 593-nucleotide ribosomal RNA is filed under the name uncultured crenarchaeote. RNAcentral's name for it is "bacterial SSU rRNA". It matches the Rfam family "Archaeal small subunit ribosomal RNA", at positions 554 to 1154 of the family's 1478-position model. Lineage: Archaea; Thermoproteati; Thermoproteota. The record is from RNAcentral.